Molecule: ribosomal RNA, 253 nt
Filed under: uncultured bacterium
Lineage: Bacteria
Description: partial 16S ribosomal RNA
Rfam family: Bacterial small subunit ribosomal RNA
Source: RNAcentral
GACGAACCGUACAAACGUUCUUCGGAAUCACUGGGCUUAAAGGGUGCGUAGGCGGCGCGGAAAGUAGGGUGUGAAAUCCCUCGGCUCAACCGAGGAAUUGCGCCCUAAACUACCGUGCUCGAGGGAGAUAGAGGUGAGCGGAACUUAGGGUGGAGCGGUGAAAUGCGUUGAUAUCCUAAGGAACACCGGUGGCGAAAGCGGCUCACUGGAUCUCUUCUGACGCUGAGGCACGAAAGCUAGGGUAGCGAACGGG